This 229-nucleotide ribosomal RNA is filed under the name Streptococcus agalactiae. RNAcentral's name for it is "partial 16S ribosomal RNA". It matches the Rfam family "Bacterial small subunit ribosomal RNA", at positions 1 to 219 of the family's 1533-position model. Lineage: Bacteria; Bacillati; Bacillota; Bacilli; Lactobacillales; Streptococcaceae. The record is from RNAcentral.
UUUUAAUGAGAGUUUGAUCCUGGCUCAGGACGAACGCUGGCGGCGUGCCUAAUACAUGCAAGUAGAACGCUGAGGUUUGGUGUUUACACUAGACUGAUGAGUUGCGAACGGGUGAGUAACGCGUAGGUAACCUGCCUCAUAGCGGGGGAUAACUAUUGGAAACGAUAGCUAAUACCGCAUAAGAGUAAUUAACACAUGUUAGUUAUUUAAAAGGAGCAAUUGCUUCACU